This 84-nucleotide transfer RNA is filed under the name Mycobacterium shinjukuense. Its description in RNAcentral is "tRNA-Ser". The record is from RNAcentral. Lineage: Bacteria; Bacillati; Actinomycetota; Actinomycetes; Mycobacteriales; Mycobacteriaceae.
GCGGCGCGGUCGUUGAGUUGGUCAAGCGUCAGGCUGCUGAUCGGAUGGGUGACGACCGCGGGUUCGAGACCGGCCAUGCCGCGC